GACGAACGCUGGCGGCGUGCCUAAUACAUGCAAGUUGAGCGCUUAAGGUUGGUACUUGUACCAACUGGAUGAGCAGCGAACGGGUGAGUAACGCGUGGGGAAUCUGCCUUUGAGCGGGGGACAACAUUUGGAAACGAAUGCUAAUACCGCAUAACAACUUUAAACACAAGUUUUAAGUUUGAAAGAUGCAAUUGCAUCACUCAAAGAUGAUCCCGCGUUGUAUUAGCUAGUUGGUGAGGUAAAGGCUCACCAAGGCGAUGAUACAUAGCCGACCUGAGAGGGUGAUCGGCCACAGUGGGACUGAGACACGGCCCAAACUCCUACGGGAGGCAGCAGUAGGGAAUCUUCGGCAAUGGACGAAAGUCUGACCGAGCAACGCCGCGUGAGUGAAGAAGGUUUUCGGAUCGUAAAACUCUGUUGGUAGAGAAGAACGUUGGUGAGAGUGGAAAGCUCAUCAAGUGACGGUAACUACCCAGAAAGGGACGGCUAACUACGUG
RNAcentral lists this ribosomal RNA (497 nucleotides) under uncultured bacterium. Its description in RNAcentral is "partial 16S ribosomal RNA". It matches the Rfam family "Bacterial small subunit ribosomal RNA", at positions 28 to 507 of the family's 1533-position model. The record is from RNAcentral.